UCAGGAGGAGGGCUGAAAGGGUGAGAGGUCAUAAAGUAAAAAGAAAGGGCAAGUCCAUCGUGGCCAACAGUGGACAGUUAAAACAUGGAUAAUAAGUCAAUGCUGGAAGCGAAGGGGAUGAAAAUGACUGGAGUUUGGCAACUAUCUGUUUGUAUAAGUGAAUCCAGAGUUCUCUGUGCCCAGCUUCGCCAGGAGACUUUCGAGCAGUUCGGCCCUACUUUGAGCGAGACGUGUGGGGAAGUUGGAUUUGAAAGGCUUCACCAGCUCAACAGGCACAAACUGCAAGACUCGAACAUCCUUCAGGACAGCAAU
Molecule: long non-coding RNA, 312 nt
Organism: Hippocampus zosterae (dwarf seahorse)
Lineage: Eukaryota; Metazoa; Chordata; Actinopteri; Syngnathiformes; Syngnathidae
Exons: 2
Source: RefSeq, a predicted model, not a curated record